UACAGAGGUGGCAAGCGUUGUUCGGAAUUACUGGGCGUAAAGGGUGCGUAGGUGGCGGGGUAAGUCUGGUGUGAAAUCCUGGGGCUCAACCCCGGAACUGCACUGGAUACUGCUUUGCUAGAGUACUGGAGAGGGAACUGGAAUUUACGGUGUAGCAGUGAAAUGCGUAGAUAUCGUAAGGAAGACCAGUGGCGAAGGCGAGUUCCUGGACAGUUACUGACACUGAGGCACGAAGGCCAGGGGAGCAAACGGG
RNAcentral lists this ribosomal RNA (253 nucleotides) under uncultured bacterium. RNAcentral describes it as "partial 16S ribosomal RNA". It matches the Rfam family "Bacterial small subunit ribosomal RNA", at positions 524 to 776 of the family's 1533-position model. The record is from RNAcentral.